Molecule: ribosomal RNA, 1143 nt
Filed under: uncultured organism
Description: bacterial SSU rRNA
Rfam family: Bacterial small subunit ribosomal RNA
Source: RNAcentral
UGAGAAUCUGCCUUGGGGUCGGGGACAACCACUGGAAACGGUGGCUAAUACCGGAUAAGCCUUUGGGUAAAAGAUUUAUUGCCCCAAGAGGAGCUCGCGUCUGAUUAGCUAGUUGGUGAGGUAAAAGCUCACCAAGGCAGCGAUCAGUAGCUGGUCUGAGAGGACGAUCAGCCACACUGGGACUGAGACACGGCCCAGACUCCUACGGGAGGCAGCAGUGGGGAAUUUUCCGCAAUGGGCGAAAGCCUGACGGAGCAAGACCGCGUGAGGGAGGAAGGCUCUUGGGUUGUAAACCUCUUUUCUCAGGGAAGAAGCUCUGACGGUACCUGAGGAAUCAGCCUCGGCUAACUCCGUGCCAGCAGCCGCGGUAAUACGGAGGAGGCAAGCGUUAUCCGGAAUUAUUGGGCGUAAAGCGUCCGCAGGUGGCGAUUCAAGUCUGCUGUCAAAGCACGGGGCUUAACUCCGUUAAGGCAGUGGAAACUGAAUAGCUAGAGUGCCGUAGGGGUAGAGGGAAUUCCCGGUGUAGCGGUGAAAUGCGUAGAGAUCGGGAAGAACAUCGGUGGCGAAAGCGCUCUACUGGACGGCAACUGACACUCAGGGACGAAAGCUAGGGGAGCGAAUGGGAUUAGAUACCCCAGUAGUCCUAGCUGUAAACGAUGGAUACUAGGUGUAGCUUGUAUCGACCCGAGCUGUGCCGAAGCUAACGCGUUAAGUAUCCCGCCUGGGGAGUACGCACGCAAGUGUGAAACUCAAAGGAAUUGACGGGGGCCCGCACAAGCGGUGGAGUAUGUGGUUUAAUUCGAUGCAACGCGAAGAUCCUUACCAGGGUUUGACAUGUCCGGAAUCCCGGUGAAAGCUGGGAGUGCCUUCGGGAGCCGGAACACAGGUGGUGCAUGGCUGUCGUCAGCUCUUGUCGUGAGAUGUUGGGUUAAGUCCCGCAACGAGCGCAACCCUCGUCUUUAGUUGCCAGCAUUAAGUUGGGCACUCUAGAGAGACCGCCGGUGACAAACCGGAGGAAGGUGGGGAUGACGUCAAGUCAGCAUGCCCCUUACGCUCUGGGCGACACACGUACUACAAUGGUCGGGACAGAGGGCAGCGAACCUGCGAAGGCAAGCUAAUCCCAGCAAACUCGGCCUCAGUUCA